UAUGGAAAUAAUGACAUGCAUACUCAAUCUUUGAUCUCUUUUACCCACCUAUCAUAUGCCAUCUUGAUGAUCCACAUAAGAAUAAGAAAAAAGAAGAGAGAACCAAUAAUGCAAACGGCUAAGGCGAGAACUGGUGUGUCGGAUAAGACCACAUACGUCCCUGCAAUAAAUGUCAACAUCAUCCCAAUAAUAGAAAGAAUGUUGAGGACGGUUGAUGAAGCAUUUAGCAGUGACACUUGGUGGGGAUCUUCAUUCAUUGAUUCGAGGAAGUAGAAAAACAGUGAAGAUGUUGACAUUAGUAGAGCUAAUGCAUCCGAUAACAUGAAUGCAUUAAAAGCUCUCUUUCUGGACAAAACCACCAGUCCUUCA
RNAcentral lists this long non-coding RNA (369 nucleotides) under Daucus carota (carrot). RNAcentral's name for it is "long non-coding RNA (DCAR_LNC001001)". Lineage: Eukaryota; Viridiplantae; Streptophyta; Magnoliopsida; Apiales; Apiaceae. The record is from RNAcentral.